GGCUCCUGCGAGAAGCUGCUGGAAGCUUCCCCCGUGUCCUCCAGAGCCAAUGGCUGAUGGCUCUGAAGGUGCUGCUGGGCCAAUGGGAGAGGCUGGUAACGCCUCUGUGAUGACAUAUUUAAGAACAAAAUCAGAACAAAGUUAGGGUUUUGCCUCCGGUCAGAGAAGAUCAGGAGGUGGGAAUGUGUGAGGGGAGCAACAUGGCAACACCAAGGUCAGUGGAGAAGGAGGGGAGGAGGUGUUCCAGGCGCCAGAGCCGAGGUUCCUCUUCAGGCUGUGGUGAGACCAUGGUGAAGCAGCUGUGCCCUGCAGCCCGUGGGGAAGGUGCCCAAGCCAGAGCAGGUGGAUGCCUGGAGGAGGCUGUGAUCCAGGGGAGGACCCCGUGGAGAGAGGGGGUCCCUGCUUUCCCUGCUGGAACAGCCUGUCCUUGGAGGACUGCAUCCUGUGGGAAGAGCUACGUCGCAGCAGUUUUGGACUGUCUGCCCAUGGAAGGGGCUCAUGCUGCAGCAGGUGCCUUUUGGCUGCUGCUUGUGAGAGUGGACCCACACCAGAGAAGUUAACAGAGAGCUGUCUCCUGUGGGAGGGACCCCACGGUCUCACAGGAGCCUAAUUCAGGGAGUGGAGUCCUGUCCCUGGAUCCAUUAACACUGACAGACAGGAUGGAGAGAUGGAAGAGGAGAACAUCAUCCAGAUUUUGUAAAAGUAACAGAAACUUAUGUUAACAGAAAUUCUUUCACUGGCUGGAGUGAACUAGCUUGGAAGAUUGCAAAUUCAAAAGGAGGGAGCUCUUCUCCAUCUCAUUUUUCUUUCCCUCAGUCCUGUCUCUGCAGUCCUUGCUCAGCUCACCUUGAUGUUUUGCUGGAGCUUUUGUGAAUAACUUCAUUUCAGCAUCUCAGCAAAAAUGCUUACAAAACUGUAGACCAACUGUAGCUUAUCAGCAUUUUGCCAGGCUGAUAAAUAGAAUUGGCUCAGCAAGGUAUCCUCAAAUCCAUGUAACACAAGGGAGGGGAGGAUUCAGACAAGAAGCAGGGGAAUGGACAGUGGAAUUGUCACUUUUGCUAGCAGAAAGUUACUCAGGCAUCUUUGCUGCUCAGAGGAAUGUAACAGAAAACUUAAAAAAGGUGUCACUGCUCCUUAUCAUCUGGGAGAUCAUCCAAGUCCCAUUAAAAUAAUUAAGUUUCCAGACUUGUCUUAAUGAUGCCUGAAUCAGAUGUUGUAUAAACAGACUGGUAAGUCACUACAAAAACUUAGUUUACUAGAAACAAAUAAGCCAACUCUGAUCUUUGAUAUGGGUGUAUAUUAUUCCAGAAUUGUAAAUAUUUAGGAAUCGAAUACACACCCUAAAUUUAAAAAGCACUUCUUAUGUACCUAUUUUCCCACAGAGAGUAAAAGCUAGCAAUUCCCAGGAGCUAUCUUGGGAUUUGGACCUGAUUCCAAAUCAGGUAAGGAAGACAAUACACUGGCACGUCUGAGCAGGGAUCUGUUGGUCAAAUUAAAGGGAAAGAAGAAAAUACAUAGGUAGCUGAACCUAGGAUGGUGAUCUGGGACAAGUAUAGAGAUGAAAUAUAGUUGUGAAGGGAUGGGAAGAGGGAGGCCAUAGCAAAGAUGGAAUUGAACCUUGCGAAGGACUCAAAAAAUAAUAAAGGUUUCUACAGAUAUGUUAACCAGAAAAAGAAGGUCAGAGAAGGUGUAGAAGCUUCAUGAACAGUGCUGUAAAACUCGUAACAACAGAUGAGGAGAAGGCUGAUGUACUCAACAAUUUUUUGGCCUCAGUUUUCAAAGUCAGACUCUCUUCCCAAGCCUCUUAAAUGGGUGCCAAGCAGGAUAGGGACUGGAGGAACAAAGAGUGUCCCACUGUAAGUGAAGAUUAGGUUCAUAACCUGAGGAACUUGAAUGUUCAUAAGUCUCAUGAGAUGCAUUCUAGAAUCCUGAGGAAAUAGGCUGAUGUAGUUGCCAAACUAUUCUCUGAGAUGCUGGAAGUGACAUGAGAGUCAGAUGAAGUCCCAGGUGACUGGAAUAAGAGAAAUAUUGUACCUAUCUUUAAACAGCGUAGAAAGGAGGAGUCUGGGAACGACCAACCCGUCAGCCUCACCUCUGUCCCCAGGAAGAUGAUGGAAUAGUUCCUCAUAGAACCUAUGCUAAGACACGUGCAGGGCAGGGAGGUGGUUUAGGACAGUUAGUACAGCUUCACCAAGGUAAAAUCCUGUCUGAACAACCUUCUAGGAUGGAGUCACUGGAUGAGGGAAAGGUAAAGUUGCAUUUAUCUGGACUUACGUUAAGCCUUUGACAUGGUCCCCUGCAAAAUCUCUCUUUCUAGAUUGGAGAGAGAUGGAUUAACAGGUGGACUGUUAGAUGGACAGGAAGGUGAUCAGAUGGGGGCAGCCGGAGGCUGGUGGUCAGCAUCUCAGAGUCCCAGUGGCCAUUGGUGACAAGUAUCCCUCAGGGAUCCAUAUUGGACAAGUAUUAUUUAGUACGUUCAUUAAUGACAUAGACAAAGCCAUUUGGUGCACUCUCAGCAAGUUUGCAGAUGACACUGAGCUGAGUGGUGCAGUUGAUAACCAAGGGAUCCGACCCAGCCAGCAUGGGCUGUGGCCAUUGGGGCUGACUGACCAGCUUGGUAUUUUAUGACGGGUGAUUUGUCUAGUGGGUGGGGGAAAGGCUGUGGAUGUUGCCUGUUUGGACUCCAGCAAAGCCUUUGACACUGUCUGCUGCAUCAUACUCUUAGAAAAGCUGUCAGCCCACAGUUUGGACAGUGCCAUUCUUUGCUGUGUUAAGAACUGGCUGGAUGGCCAGGCCCAGAGUGUGGUAGCAAAUGAUGGUAAAUGGUGAUAUGGAAUCUAGUCACUGGAGAAAAGCACCUUUUCUUAGACAAAGGAGAUGUUCUGUUAUGCUCCUGCCCCUAAAAAUUUCCAUAGUAAAAUCUACUUGGCACUUAUCUCGAUUGUACUAUAAUGUAAUUUGUAUUCAUCCAAACUCAACAUUUAUUAUUGAAGAUGGCAGCUACUGCAAUUCAAAACUAUGUAAGCUAAUAAUUUUAAAUGCGAUAUUUCAUGUGUUUAAUGUAUGAAAACCCUAUUAUUCAUCAAUUUGGCGUGUUUUUGUAGUAAUAGUCACUUUAGAAGUUAUUGUAGUGUUAUUAAAUGUUAUUAUGUGUUUUAAAACUGUUGUUAAUUUAAUCCUAUAAAUAAUUUAAGGAAAUAAAACUUUCCACAUCUAAAAAUAUGGAGAGUGAAGCUAGUAAUUUAGUCAGUGCCUUUAUUCAGUUUCCUAUCAAAUUCUGCUUCCAUUUACUUGUGCAGCUGUUCCUUCUGUUCCUUCCCUGUUCCUGCUGUACUAUGAAUUUCUGUACAUUUCUUGUUCAAAGAUUAGGACUAGUAGUUUUGGAUGCCUCUCUGUAUGCAUUUAGUAUAUGAAGUAAAAUAAAAUUUUCAGUACGUGAAA
Long non-coding RNA from Parus major (Great Tit), 3441 nucleotides. RefSeq lists it as uncharacterized. The transcript has 2 exons. The record is from RefSeq and is a predicted model, not a curated record. Lineage: Eukaryota; Metazoa; Chordata; Aves; Passeriformes; Paridae.